AGGGAAUCUUCCACAAUGGGCGCAAGCCUGAUGGAGCAACACCGCGUGAGUGAAGAAGGGUUUCGGCUCGUAAAGCUCUGUUGUUGGAGAAGAACGUGCGUGAGAGUAACUGUUCACGCAGUGACGGUAUCCAACCAGAAAGUCACGGCUAACUCCGUGCCAGCAGCCGCGGUAAUACGUAGGUUGCAAGCGUUAUCCGGAUUUAUUGGGCGUAAAGCGAGCGCAGGCGGUUACUUAGGUCUGAUGUGAAAGCCUUCGGCUUAACCGAAGAAGUGCAUCGGAAACCGGGCGACUUGAGUGCAGAAGAGGACAGUGGAACUCCAUGUGUAGCGGUGGAAUGCGUAGAUAUAUGGAAGAACACCAGUGGCGAAGGCGGCUGUCUGGUCUGCAACUGACGCUGAGGCUCGAAAGCAUGGGUAGCGAACAGG
Molecule: ribosomal RNA, 428 nt
Filed under: uncultured bacterium
Lineage: Bacteria
Description: bacterial SSU rRNA
Rfam family: Bacterial small subunit ribosomal RNA
Source: RNAcentral